GACGAACGCUGGCGGCGUGCCUAAUACAUGCAAGUUGAGCGCUGAAGGUUGGUACUUGUACCAACUGGAUGAGCAGCGAACGGGUGAGUAACGCGUGGGGAAUCUGCCUUUGAGCGGGGGACAACAUUUGGAAACGAAUGCUAAUACCGCAUAAAAACUUUAAACACAAGUUUUAAGUUUGAAAGAUGCAAUUGCAUCACUCAAAGAUGAUCCCGCGUUGUAUUAGCUAGUUGGUGAGGUAAAGGCUCACCAAGGCGAUGAUAUAUAGCCGACCUGAGAGGGUGAUCGGCCACAUUGGGACUGAGACACGGCCCAAACUCCUACGGGAGGCAGCAGUAGGGAAUCUUCGGCAAUGGACGAAAGUCUGACCGAGCAACGCCGCGUGAGUGAAGAAGGUUUUCGGAUCGUAAAACUCUGUUGGUAGAGAAGAACGUUGGUGAGAGUGGAAAGCUCAUCAAGUGACGGUAACUACCCAGAAAGGGACGGCUAACUACGUG
This 497-nucleotide ribosomal RNA is filed under the name uncultured bacterium. Its description in RNAcentral is "partial 16S ribosomal RNA". It matches the Rfam family "Bacterial small subunit ribosomal RNA", at positions 28 to 507 of the family's 1533-position model. The record is from RNAcentral.